AGAGACUUAGUCCCAACCUUACCGUUAAUUCUUGCCAGACACAUACAUGCAAGUAUCCGCACCCCAGUGUAAACGCCCCUCAACCUUACGCUAGGCAGAGGGAGCUGGCAUCAGGCACACCCACCAAUCGUAGCCCAAGACGCCUCGCACCAGCCACACCCCCACGGGCAUUCAGCAGUAGUUAACAUUAAGCAAUAAGCGUAAGCUUGACUUAGUUAUGGCAACCCAACAUAGGGCCGGUAAAUCUUGUGCCAGCCACCGCGGUCAUACAAGAGGCCCAAGUUAACGGUCCACGGCGUAAAGAGUGGCCCCACGAUAUCUCACAAACUAGAGCCAAAAUGCAACUAAGCUGUCAUAAGCUAAAGAUGCACCUAAAACCCCCAAAAAGACCCUAGCCACCGAGAAACACAAAACUCCACGAAAGCUGGGGCCCAAACUGGGAUUAGAUACCCCACUAUGCCCAGCCCUAAAUCUUGAUACUCGUCCUAUCACUAGAGCAUCCGCCAGAGCACUACGAGCACAAACGCUUAAAAUUCUAAGGACUUGGCGGUACCCCAAACCCACCUAGAGGAGCCUGUCCUAUAAUCGACAACCCACGAUAGACCCAACCGUCUCUUGCAAGACAGCCUACAUACCGCCGUCACCAGCCCGCCUCCUGAGAGAACAACAGCGGACACAAUAGCCACAACAUCGCUAGCAGGACAGGUCAAGGUAUAGCUUAUGAGACGGAAGAGAUGGGCUACAUUCCCUAGAAUAGGGAAUCAACGAAAGGGGACAUGAAACACCCCCGGAAGGCGGAUUUAGCAGUAAAGGCGGGAUCACAUAAGCCUCCUUUAAAAAGGCUCUGGGGUACGUACAUACCGCCCGUCACCCUCCUCAAACGCUACUACCACCCAUAAUUAAUCUCUUCAAAGCUAAUAGACGAGGUAAGUCGUAACAAGGUAAGUGUACCGGAAGGUGUACUUAGCAUAC
Molecule: non-coding RNA, 972 nt
Filed under: Ninox strenua (Powerful owl)
Lineage: Eukaryota; Metazoa; Chordata; Aves; Strigiformes; Strigidae
Description: 12S ribosomal RNA
Rfam family: Bacterial small subunit ribosomal RNA
Source: RNAcentral